This 723-nucleotide ribosomal RNA is filed under the name Vibrio sp. 13D02. Its description in RNAcentral is "bacterial SSU rRNA". It matches the Rfam family "Bacterial small subunit ribosomal RNA", at positions 33 to 735 of the family's 1533-position model. The record is from RNAcentral. Lineage: Bacteria; Pseudomonadati; Pseudomonadota; Gammaproteobacteria; Vibrionales; Vibrionaceae.
ACGCUGGCGGCAGGCCUAACACAUGCAAGUCGAGCGGAAACGACACUAACAAUCCUUCGGGUGCGUUAAUGGGCGUCGAGCGGCGGACGGGUGAGUAAUGCCUAGGAAAUUGCCUUGAUGUGGGGGAUAACCAUUGGAAACGAUGGCUAAUACCGCAUAAUGCCUACGGGCCAAAGAGGGGGACCUUCGGGCCUCUCGCGUCAAGAUAUGCCUAGGUGGGAUUAGCUAGUUGGUGAGGUAAUGGCUCACCAAGGCGACGAUCCCUAGCUGGUCUGAGAGGAUGAUCAGCCACACUGGAACUGAGACACGGUCCAGACUCCUACGGGAGGCAGCAGUGGGGAAUAUUGCACAAUGGGCGAAAGCCUGAUGCAGCCAUGCCGCGUGUAUGAAGAAGGCCUUCGGGUUGUAAAGUACUUUCAGUUGUGAGGAAGGGGGURKHGUUAAUAGCKSYRYMUCUUGACGUUAGCAACAGAAGAAGCACCGGCUAACUCCGUGCCAGCAGCCGCGGUAAUACGGAGGGUGCGAGCGUUAAUCGGAAUUACUGGGCGUAAAGCGCAUGCAGGUGGUUCAUUAAGUCAGAUGUGAAAGCCCGGGGCUCAACCUCGGAACUGCAUUUGAAACUGGUGAACUAGAGUACUGUAGAGGGGGGUAGAAUUUCAGGUGUAGCGGUGAAAUGCGUAGAGAUCUGAAGGAAUACCAGUGGCGAAGGCGGCCCCCUGGACA